Molecule: RNA transcript, 4487 nt
Organism: Eriocheir sinensis (Chinese mitten crab)
Lineage: Eukaryota; Metazoa; Arthropoda; Malacostraca; Decapoda; Varunidae
Gene: mRpS7
Gene name: 28S ribosomal protein S7, mitochondrial-like
Exons: 8
Source: RefSeq, a predicted model, not a curated record
CUUGGUCUCGGGGUCCGGCGAGUGUCAACAAAACAUGUCCGCUGGCAGCCUGAGGAGCAUGCUAGCCGGCGUGCUGCGGGGGCGUCCCUGGGCGGUGGGCGGGGCAUGGAGCCAGCAUGGGGCGUUGGGUGCGGUGGGAGGUGUGCGGGGUUACAGCCAGUACCCGCCCACCUUUAUCAAGCCCAUCUACCAACCGGAGAAGCUGAAAGAACUGGAGGAGAGUGAGAUGAUCAAGGAGUUACAGUACCAGCCGGUGAGGGCCGCCUACAACACCCACACCAGUUCUGUUUUCCAUGACCCUCUGCUAAGGAAGUUUACGAAUCACAUCAUGAAGUGCGGAAAUAAGGCCUUGGCGAGGGAGCUUAUGGAGAAGACCCUGGAGGAGAUCAAGCGGACACAGCUGCGACGGCGGAACGAGGCGGAGACGGAGGCGGAGAAGGACGCGGUGGAGUGCAACCCCCUCACGAUCUUCCACCAGGCGGUAGAAAACGGGAGGCCGGUUUUGCAGCUCACCCCGGUCAAAAGGGGGGGCGUGACCUACCAGGUGCCCAUGCCGAUCACAGAGCAGCGAUCGUACUUUGUGUCCAUGCGCUGGUUGAAGGAGGCAGGGAAGGAGAAGGAGAGGACGGUGCCUUUCCCGGAGAAGAUGGCACGGGAACUUCUGCUGGCGGCCAGGAAUGAGGGUCGUGUUGUCAAGAAGAAACAGGAUCUCCACCGCCAGUGUGAGGCCAACCGCGCCUAUGCCCACUACCGCUGGAGCUAAGGGGUAUAUUCUUAAACAGUACAGCGCCCACAUACACAAGACUUUCAGAGGCAUGUUGGGCACUUCCACGUGUAGUUCAGUGACCCGGGUGGUAGUUUAACCCUUCUUCUGUACCGUGAACGUGAAAAAACACUCAUGAAAACGUGAUUAGCCUCCUUACUGGCCUCUGGAAAUAAUUUGUGUGAGAGGUGGAAGUGCUUGGUGAUGUCUUCUUGUAGGAAAUCUACGGUCAAGAGGUUAAGUGUCCCAUCCCUAGCAAUACAGUAUCAACCUUUUGUAUAUACUUCUCAAUCUCCCGACCCAAAAAUACAUAUGCUACAGAUCUUAACUCUAACAUAACUCACCUAAUGAAAGAACAGAAAUGAUUGGCUGUCUCAGAACCUCAUAAUAUUAAGAUUUUGAAGUGUCCCAUCCCAAGCAAUACAAGAUCAACCUUUUGUAUAUAGUUCUUAAUCUCCCGACCCAGAAAUACAUAUGCUACAACCCUGAACUCUAACAUAACUCACCUAAUGAAAGAACAGAAAUGAUUGUCUGUCUCGGAACCUCAUAACAUUAACCCAGUAGCUGCGGGGAUCAUGUUUCUUAAAGGCCCUUCCCUCUAAGCGAGAAAAAUGAGAAAAAAUCAUCACUCACGCAAACCAUUUCAUAAUACAUAUCAAAGCAUUUGUGAUCAGUUUAUGCAUCAUUUAUUUUUGGGGGUUUAUAUAAUGGCAAAAAUUUGGCCUGUCGCUGCUACACGGUAAAGCCACAAAUUUGGCCCGUCGCUGGUACAUGGUAAAGCCACAAAUUUGGCCCGUCGCUGGUACAUGGUAAAGCCACAAAUUUGGCCCAUCACUGGUACACGGUAAAGCCACAAAUUUGGCCCAUCGCUGGUACAUGGUAAAGUCACAAAUUUGGCCCGUCGCUGGUACACGGUAAAGCCACAAAUUUGGCCCAUCGCUGGUACAUGGUAAAGUCACAAAUUUGGCCCGUUGCUGGUACAUGGUAAAGUCACAAAUUUGGCCCGUUGCUGGUACACGGUAAAGCCACAAAUUUGGCCCGUCGCUGGUACACGGCAAAGCCACAAAUUUGGCCCAUCGCUGGUACACGGUAAAGCCACAAAUUUGGCCCGUCGCUGGUACAUGGUAAAGCCACAAAUUUGGCCCGUCGCUGGUACUGGGUUGUCAAGUGUGCCAUUCCUUCCUAUACAACAAGAUCAACCUUUUGUAUAUACUUUUUGAUCCCCUGACCCAAAAAAUACAUAUGCUACAGGCCCUAUCUCUCACCUUAUAAGAGAAUAAGAAGGGACUGCAUCAAGAAACCACAUUACACUUAAGAUUUUCAAGUGUAAGGGUCAUAUUCUGAAACAUUAUGGCGCCCAAGCACGUAUUUGACAAGGCUUUCGUAGGAGUUUGGGGCAUUUCCGGGGGUAGCUUCAUGACCCUGGUGGUAGUUUAACCUUUCCUCUGUACCAUGAUGCUAAACUAUCACUUGUCAGAACCCAACUGAUCUCCGUUUUGGCCUUUGGAAAUAGUUGAUGUCAGAACGGAAAGCAUCUAGAGUCCACCAUCCCCAGCGAUAGUCUUAACCCGGUAGCAGCGAUGGGCCAAAUUUGUACCAUGAUUUAAACCCCCAAAACAGAUGAUACAUGAACUGAUCAGAAAUGCGUUGAUAUAUAUUAUGAAAUGGUUUGUGUGAGUGAUGAUUUUUUCUCGUAUUUCUCGCUGAGAGGGACCAUUAAGAAACAUGAUCCCCACAGCUACCUGGUUAACCUGUAUAUAUUCCUUCCUCUGAACCCAAAACAAACGUGUGCUACUGUGCUUUCUCUGUAAAACUAGGAAUGGGUGUUUACCUAAGAACCCCAAAAUAGUAAGAUGUUUCCAAGUCACACCCACAACAAUACAAUGGUGGGAGAUAUAUAUUUCUUUAUGUAUGUAUUCUUUGAGGUAUUGAUAAAGAGAUACAUGUGCUGGGUAACUCUCUUAUUGCUGUGAGCCUGAGGAGAAAGGGAGGGAGGGAGGGAUGAAUGGGGUUUGUGUGUGUGUGUGUUUCAGUGUCUGUGUGUGGGUGGGUGUUUGUGUGGUGUUGACAGGGGUGGUGAUGAGUGUGUAAGGUGUUGACAGGGGUGGUGAUGAGUGUGUAAGGUGUUGACAGGGGUGGUGAUGAGUGUGUAAGGUGUUGACAGGGGUGGUGAUGAGUGUGUGUGGUGUUGACAGGGGUGGUGAUGAGGGUGUUGGUGUUGAUUGGUAUUGACAGAGGUGGUGAUGAAGGGUUGGUAAGAACUAUACACAUGAAUCAUUAGCACAAAUUGACACACACACACACACACACACAUAACCACAGACUUCAGGAAUCUUCACUGUGUUGGUAACGAUGGCACACAUUUCAACAGGACCAAAAGGAGUGAAGUAAAGAAAUUAAUCAGUGACUUUGCAUGUGAUCUGUAUUUCUAUAAAGUUACUUAAAUUACAUGGUUGCUAUACACACACACACACAAACACACACACUCGGCGCAUAUUGACACAGUGCAUAGCGUGACAAUAUACUAGAUUCAACCUUCCCAGCCAACACUCUUGUCACACCCACACACCCUACGGACACACACACACACACACACACACACCUAUUCUACAGCUCAGCAAGAAACACAAUAUCUGCUUGCCCAUAAGGUGAACUAUUUUAUACUGAUGACAUAGCUUCAGUCACUAGCAACCCAUCCCUUCCACUCUUAACCCCAGACGCUAUGAGGUUUGAGAGAGAUACAGAGAAGGUUGUGAUGGUCUGGACAUGUGGGAAGGGACACAGAGGGUGGAGAGCUGAGGAAACGGUGAUAAAUGAUUGGUUAAGAGAUGUGGCUUGAAGGAGAUACAGGAGGGAGUGAGACAGAGAAGGUUGCAAUGGUUGGGACACGUGAGACGAGAGACAGAGGGCGGAGUGCUGAGGAUGGUGAGGAAAUGGAGGUGUCUGGAGGGAGAGCAAGGAGGACAUGGAGAGGAACACUGACACAAGGCCUGGAGGUGUUAGACAUAGAGGAAGGAGAGAGAGAGACAGGGAAGGUUGCAAUGGUUGGGACAUGUGAGAAGGGAGACAGAGGGUGGAAAUGGAGGUGCCUGAAGGGAGAGCAAGGAGGACAUGGAGAGGAACAGUGACACAUGGCCUGGAGGUGUUGGACAUAGAGGAAGGACCACCACUGGACCCUCGCAAGUCCCACCCCAAGAAUGAGAAGAGAUGGACUGUAAAUGAGGAAGAAGAAGAAUUUAAGUCACGUCAUUAACAAAUACUUAAGCAGAAACGCACUAAAUUUGGGGUUUACUGUACGUUCCUAUAUUCUUUUUAACUUGUAAUCUGUUUCUGUAUAGUAAUUUGUGUGUUUGUUGUACAUAAUGAACUUGGGAACGUGGAAAUGGAGGAAAAAUAUUAAUGAGAAGUUUAGAAAGAGAGGAAAGAGGAAGAAAAUAAAAAAUGAAAGAUGAACUAAUGAAAAAUUAACUAUAAGAAGAACUAAAAAAAGAGUAAAGAGGAAGAAAAUAAAAAAUGAAAGAUGAACUAGAUGAAAAAUUAACAAUAAGAAGAACUAAAAAAAAGAGUAAAGAGGAACAGAAUAAAAAAUGGAAGAUGAACUAGAUGAAAAAUUAACUAUAAGAAGGACUAAAAAAAGAGUAAAGAGGAACAGAAUAAAAAAUGAAAGAUGAACUAGAUGAAAAAUUAACUAUAAGAAGAACUAAAGAAAGAGUAAAGAGGAACA